CAAUACGACUCUCGGCAACGGAUAUCUCGGCUCUCGCAUCGAUGAAGAACGUAGCAAAAUGCGAUACCUGGUGUGAAUUGCAGAAUCCCGCGAACCAUCGAGUUUUUGAACGCAAGUUGCGCCCGAGGCCUUCUGGUUGAGGGCACGCCUGCCUGGGCGUCACGC
Molecule: ribosomal RNA, 165 nt
Filed under: Melinis repens
Lineage: Eukaryota; Viridiplantae; Streptophyta; Magnoliopsida; Poales; Poaceae
Description: 5.8S ribosomal RNA
Rfam family: 5.8S ribosomal RNA
About the family: 5.8S ribosomal RNA (5.8S rRNA) is a component of the large subunit of the eukaryotic ribosome.
Source: RNAcentral